GAUGAACGCUGGCGGCGUGCCUAAUACAUGCAAGUCGAGCGAACGGACGAGAAGCUUGCUUCUCUGAUGUUAGCGGCGGACGGGUGAGUAACACGUGGAUAACCUACCUAUAAGACUGGGAUAACUUCGGGAAACCGGAGCUAAUACCGGAUAAUAUUUUGAACCGCAUGGUUCAAAAGUGAAAGACGGUCUUGCUGUCACUUAUAGAUGGAUCCGCGCUGCAUUAGCUAGUUGGUAAGGUAACGGCUUACCAAGGCAACGAUGCAUAGCCGACCUGAGAGGGUGUUCGGCCACACUGGAACUGAGACACGGUCCAGACUCCUACGGGAGGCAGCAGUAGGGAAUCUUCCGCAAUGGGCGAAAGCCUGACGGAGCAACGCCGCGUGAGUGAUGAAGGUCUUCGGAUCGUAAAACUCUGUUAUUAGGGAAGAACAUAUGUGUAAGUAACUGCGCACAUCUUGACGGUACCUAAUCAGAAAGCCACGGCUAACUACGUG
This 497-nucleotide ribosomal RNA is filed under the name uncultured bacterium. RNAcentral describes it as "partial 16S ribosomal RNA". It matches the Rfam family "Bacterial small subunit ribosomal RNA", at positions 28 to 507 of the family's 1533-position model. The record is from RNAcentral.